UACGAAGGGGGCUAGCGUUGUUCGGAUUUACUGGGCGUAAAGCGCACGUAGGCGGAUCGUUAAGUCGGGGGUGAAAUCCUGGAGCUCCAACUCCAGAACUGCCUUCGAUACUGGCGAUCUUGAGUCCGGAAGAGGUGAGUGGAACUCCUAGUGUAGAGGUGGAAUUCGUAGAUAUUAGGAAGAACACCAGUGGCGAAGGCGGCUCACUGGUCCGGUACUGACGCUGAGGUGCGAAAGCGUGGGAGCAACAGGG
This 253-nucleotide ribosomal RNA is filed under the name uncultured bacterium. RNAcentral's name for it is "partial 16S ribosomal RNA". It matches the Rfam family "Bacterial small subunit ribosomal RNA", at positions 524 to 776 of the family's 1533-position model. The record is from RNAcentral.